RNAcentral lists this transfer RNA (71 nucleotides) under Camelus bactrianus (Bactrian camel). It matches the Rfam family "tRNA". Rfam says of the family: Transfer RNA (tRNA) molecules are approximately 80 nucleotides in length. Lineage: Eukaryota; Metazoa; Chordata; Mammalia; Artiodactyla; Camelidae. RNAcentral also lists the same sequence under 1 other name. The record is from Rfam by way of RNAcentral.
GACGGUGUAGCUCAGUGGUCGAGCGCAUGCUUCACAUACAUGAGGUCCUGGGUCCAUCCCCAGUACCUCCU